RNAcentral lists this ribosomal RNA (450 nucleotides) under uncultured bacterium. RNAcentral describes it as "partial 16S ribosomal RNA". It matches the Rfam family "Bacterial small subunit ribosomal RNA", at positions 354 to 796 of the family's 1533-position model. The record is from RNAcentral.
GUGGGGAAUCUUCCGCAAUGGACGAAAGUCUGACGGAGCGACGCCGCGUGAGUGAAGAAGGCCUUCGGGUCGUAAAACUCUGUCAUCAGGGACGAACGGCCGGUGGAGUGGAAAGCCACCGGAUUGACGGUACCUGAGAAGGAAGCCACGGCUAACUACGUGCCAGCAGCCGCGGUAAUACGUAGGUGGCAAGCGUUGUCCGGAAUUAUUGGGCGUAAAGCGCGCGCAGGUGGGAUCUUAAGUCCAUUUUGAAAGUUCGGAGCUCAACUCCGUGAUGGGAUGGAAACUGGGAUUCUUGAGUACCGGAGAGGAAAGCGGAAUUCCCGGUGUAGCGGUGAAAUGCGUAGAUAUGGGGAGGAACACCAGUGGCGAAGGCGGCUUUCUGGACGGUGUCUGACACUGAGGCGCGAAAGCCAGGGGAGCGAACGGGAUUAGAAACCCUUGUAGUCC